RNAcentral lists this non-coding RNA (24 nucleotides) under Arabidopsis thaliana (thale cress). Lineage: Eukaryota; Viridiplantae; Streptophyta; Magnoliopsida; Brassicales; Brassicaceae. The record is from RNAcentral.
AAGGAUGGGAUGCCUAAGCGCGGU